GUAUUAUUUGGUCACAUCAAAAAAAAAAAAAAAAAAACAGCUGGGCCUCCAUUUUCCCUCUCUUCCUCUGUUUUCUGCAUGCUAACCGAAGAAGAAACCGGCAGGCACCAGCACCGCCACGUGGCAGGGAAUUGUUUGAUUACAUUCAUUAAUCAAAUCAUAUUCAUAAUAAUUCUCCACUGAGUUAUUCUUUCUUUAUAUAUAAAUCAUUGAAAUUAGAAUUAAUUAUGGCGGGUGUUGUGGUUAAUGGGAAGAAGAAAGAAGAAAUUAGAGGGUGUAAAAGUGAUGUUAUUAGUGGUCCGAGUAAUCCAAUGGUGACACCUUUAUUAACAGAUCUUUAUCAAUUUACUAUGGCUUAUGCUUAUUGGAAAGCUGGAAAGCAUAAUGAACGUGCUGUGUUUGACUUGUAUUUCCGGAAGAAUCCAUUUGGCGGUGAAUAUACAAUUUUUGCUGGUUUAGAAGAAUGCAUAAAGUUUAUUGCUCAUUACAAAUUAACUGAGGAUGAGAUAGCUUUUAUCAGGUCAUCGUUGCCCCCAUCGUGUGAGGAUGCUUUCUAUAACUACCUUCGAGGAAUUAACUGUUCAGAUGUUGAGAUAUAUUCUAUACCUGAAGGAUCAGUUGUCUUUCCCAAGGUUCCGUUGAUGAGGAUUGAAGGGCCAAUUGCUGUGGUUCAACUACUGGAAACUGCAUUUGUCAAUCUCAUAAACUAUGCAUCGCUAGUCACUACUAAUGCAGCAAGACAUCGUUUUGUUGCUGGAAAGUCCAAGCUGCUGUUGGAAUUUGGGCUUCGAAGAGCACAGGGUCCUGAUGGUGGUAUAUCAGCUUCGAAAUAUUGCUACAUGGGAGGAUUUGAUGCAACUAGCAAUGUGGCAGCUGGAAAGUUAUUUGGGAUCCCGCUCCGUGGAACACAUUCCCAUGCCUUCGUUAGCUCAUUUAUGAGCCCAGAUGAGAUCAUAGACAAAUCACUUAAACACCAUGAUGGUUCUACUGUUUGUAAGGAUUUUGUUAGUCUGGUGAAAACGUGGCUUAUUAAAUUAAAGCGGUCACGCUUAUUAGGUGGAAUCUUCAGCGAGACAAACCAAAGUGAGUUAGCAGCUUUCGCCUCAUAUGGGCUUGCCUUUCCUGGAAGCUUUUUGGCCCUUGUGGACACUUAUGAUGUCAUGAGAAGUGGUGUUCCAAAUUUUUGUGCAGUUGCUCUUGCACUUAAUGAUUUGGGGUAUAGAGCAGUUGGCAUCAGAUUAGACUCUGGUGAUCUUGCUUAUCAGUCAUGCGAAGCCAGGAAAUUCUUUCAAACCAUUGAAAAAGAGUUUGGAGUGCCUGGUUUUGGAAAGAUGAACAUCACAGCUAGCAAUGACCUUAAUGAGGAAACAUUGGAUGCGCUAAAGAAACAGGGCCACGAGGUUGAUUCUUUUGGCAUUGGAACACAUUUGGUUACCUGCUACGCACAGCCCGCUCUAGGUGUUGUUUUCAAGUUGGUUGAGAUAAAUAAUCAACCUAGGAUCAAACUGUCUGAAGAUGUAACAAAGGUCUCUAUUCCAUGUAAAAAACGGUGUUUCAGAUUAUAUGGAAAGGAAGGCUACCCCCUUGUCGAUAUAAUGACCGGUGAAAAUGAGCCACCUCCUAAGGUAGGAGAACGAAUUUUGUGCCGUCAUCCAUUUACUGAAUCUAAAAGGGCAUAUGUUGUGCCCCAGCUAGUUGAGGAGCUUUUAAAGUGUUUUUGGCCUGGAAGUUCAGAUAAAACACGGGAAGAUCUGCCUCCAUUGAAGGAUAUCAGGGAACGAUGUAUUGAACAACUGGAGCAAAUGCGGCCAGAUCAUAUGAGAAGACUGAACCCAACACCAUACAAGGUUAGCGUGAGCGCAAAGUUGUAUGAUUUCAUCCAUUUCCUUUGGCUCAACGAAGCGCCUGUUGGGGAGUUGCAGUGAUCGUCAAAUCAAAGAACGGAUUUUUGAAUGAUUUUUUAGUGGAGGAUAGUUGGUUCGAAAAGGAUCUUCUAAUACAUGGGAUAAGUCAGGAAGAUUAUCGGACCGGUAAAGAUUUACUGUAGUUGGCUUGAAUCUCCUUAAAGAGAGCGAGAUAUCUGCACCUCAGCCUGAAGAUACUUUAUUUUCUUCAUAUUAUUUUUCAAUUGUAAUUGUUUUUUCACCAACAAUCUUAAAGGAGAUUCAAUGGCUACAACUGAAAAAUCCGCGGAUGUCAAGGUGGGAGAUGUUAACAAGCCAUUUCGAGUUCAACGGUACUCAUUUCAAGAGAUAGAAGGGUAAAGUACUUUUCUACAUAAGUCUUCUCAAUGUUUCUUACGUGUUAACUGAGAA
Molecule: RNA transcript, 2315 nt
Organism: Lycium ferocissimum
Lineage: Eukaryota; Viridiplantae; Streptophyta; Magnoliopsida; Solanales; Solanaceae
Gene name: nicotinate phosphoribosyltransferase 2-like
Exons: 16
Source: RefSeq, a predicted model, not a curated record